UACGUAGGUGGCGAGCGUUGUCCGGAUUUACUGGGUGUAAAGGGCGCGUAGGCGGGCGGCAAGUCCGAUGUGAAAUCCCGCGGCUUAACUGCGGAACUGCAUCGGAAACUGCCGUCCUUGAGUAUCAGAGGGGAAAGCGGAAUUCCUAGUGUAGCGGUGAAAUGCGUAGAUAUUAGGAGGAACACCGGUGGCGAAGGCGGCUUACUGGACGAUUACUGACGUUGAGGCUCGAAAGCGUGGGGAGCAAACAGGAUUAGAUACCCUGGUAGUCCCUGAG
Molecule: ribosomal RNA, 277 nt
Filed under: uncultured prokaryote
Description: partial 16S ribosomal RNA
Rfam family: Bacterial small subunit ribosomal RNA
Source: RNAcentral